AAAAUCGUGCAAAUUCAAUACAUUGCAGAAUUUUCGUAGGCCU
Escherichia coli str. K-12 substr. MG1655 is the source of this 43-nucleotide non-coding RNA. Lineage: Bacteria; Pseudomonadati; Pseudomonadota; Gammaproteobacteria; Enterobacterales; Enterobacteriaceae. The record is from Rfam.